Molecule: transfer RNA, 74 nt
Filed under: Phycisphaerae bacterium
Lineage: Bacteria; Pseudomonadati; Planctomycetota; Phycisphaerae
Description: tRNA-Arg
Rfam family: tRNA
About the family: Transfer RNA (tRNA) molecules are approximately 80 nucleotides in length.
Source: RNAcentral
GUCCGCGUAGCUCAACUGGAUAGAGCGUUGGCCUCCGAAGCCAAAGGUUGCAGGUUCGACUCCCGCCGCGGACG